AUACGUAGGGGGCGAGCGUUGUCCGGAAUGAUUGGGCGUAAAGGGCGCGUAGGCGGCCCGGUAAGUCUGGAGUGAAAGUCCUGUUUUUGAGAUGGGAAUUGCUUUGGAUACUGUCGGGCUUGAGUGCAGGAGAGGUAAGUGGAAUUCCCAGUGUAGCGGUGAAAUGCGUAGAGAUUGGGAGGAACACCAGUGGCGAAGGUGACUUACUGGACUGUAACUGACGCUGAGGCGCGAAAGUGUGGGGAGCAAACAGGAUUAGAUACCCUGGUAGUCCACACUGUAAACGAUGAAUGCUAGGUGUAGGGGGUAUCGACCCCUUCUGUGCCGCAGUCAACACAAUAAGCAUUCCGCCUGGGGAGUACGGCCGCAAGGUUGAAACUCAAAUGAAUUGACGGGG
This 397-nucleotide ribosomal RNA is filed under the name uncultured bacterium. RNAcentral's name for it is "partial 16S ribosomal RNA". It matches the Rfam family "Bacterial small subunit ribosomal RNA", at positions 523 to 918 of the family's 1533-position model. The record is from RNAcentral.